AGGCGGACAAAUCCACCAUCUUAGACCCCCAAGGGAAACCCCUUUUUGACCCUGAUGCCCUGCAUAAUCCUCGCUCAGCUGACUGGUACCCCAUGACCCAUGUGGCCAUUUUUAUAGCAACCAGGGUGAGGAAAACCCUUGAUAAGGCCAAGAGGAGUAAACUGAGGGCGGAAUGCCCACGCCCUACAUGGUUCCAGACAUGGCCGGCGUGACCCUCGAAGUGGAUCCCAAGACCGCACAGUUUUUCUUGGUAAACCGGGAUGGAAGGCCAAAAAGAGGCUGGACUAUUCUCUAAGACAUUGUCAGGACAAGGUCCUGGACAUACUCGGGCCUAUAGCCAAG
Molecule: non-coding RNA, 342 nt
Organism: Pelobates cultripes (western spadefoot toad)
Lineage: Eukaryota; Metazoa; Chordata; Amphibia; Anura; Pelobatidae
Source: the annotation of a GenBank genome assembly